RNAcentral lists this ribosomal RNA (390 nucleotides) under uncultured bacterium. Its description in RNAcentral is "bacterial SSU rRNA". It matches the Rfam family "Bacterial small subunit ribosomal RNA", at positions 29 to 416 of the family's 1533-position model. The record is from RNAcentral.
AUUGAACGCUGGCGGCAUGCCUAACACAUGCAAGUCGAACGGUAACAGGCCCUUCGGGGCGCUGACGAGUGGCGGACGGGUGAGUAAUACUUAGGAAUCUACCCUGUAGUGGGGGACAACCCGACGGAAACGUCGGGCUAAUACCGCAUACGCUCUACGGAGGAAAGCGGGGGACCGGCAAGGCCUCGCGCUAUUGGAUGAGCCUAAGCCCGAUUAGCUAGUUGGUGGGGUAAGUGGCCUACCAAGGCAAUGAUCGGUAGCUGGUCUGAGAGGACGACCAGCCACACUGGGACUGAGACACGGCCCAGACUCCUACGGGAGGCAGCAGUGGGGAAUAUUGGACAAUGGGCGAAAGCCUGAUCCAGCGAUGCCGCGUGUGUGAAGAAGGCC